This 253-nucleotide ribosomal RNA is filed under the name uncultured bacterium. RNAcentral describes it as "partial 16S ribosomal RNA". It matches the Rfam family "Bacterial small subunit ribosomal RNA", at positions 524 to 776 of the family's 1533-position model. The record is from RNAcentral.
UACAGAGGGGGCGAGCGUUGUUCGGAAUUACUGGGCGUAAAGGGCGCGUAGGCGGCCCGCUAAGUCGAACGUGAAAUCCCCAGGCUCAACCUGGGAACUGCGUCCGAUACUGGCAGGCUUGAAUCCGGGAGAGGGAUGUGGAAUUCCAGGUGUAGCGGUGAAAUGCGUAGAUAUCUGGAGGAACACCGGUGGCGAAGGCGGCAUCCUGGACCGGUAUUGACGCUCAGGUGCGAAAGCGUGGGGAGCGAACCGG